This 268-nucleotide unclassified non-coding RNA is filed under the name Tomentella sp. Its description in RNAcentral is "partial contains 5.8S ribosomal RNA, internal transcribed spacer 2, and large subunit ribosomal RNA". The stretch from base 1 to 52 matches the Rfam family "5.8S ribosomal RNA", at positions 103 to 154 of the family's 154-position model. The record is from RNAcentral. Lineage: Eukaryota; Fungi; Basidiomycota; Agaricomycetes; Thelephorales; Thelephoraceae.
AACGCAUCUUGCGCCCUUUGGUAUUCCGAAGGGCAUGCCUGUUUGAGUGUCAUGAAAAUCUCAUCCCAUCGGGUUUCCGAUGAUGAUGGACUUGGGUGUUGCCAUCUUGGUGGCUCGCCUUAAAAGUGUUAGUGGUCCCGAGAGGGGAUCUGGCGUAAUAAGUUUCGUCGGAGAAUCUCAAAGGCUGCUGACAACCCCUUGUCUUUUUCGAAAGACAUCUUUUUUUUGCUCUGACCUCAAAUCAGGUAGGACUACCCGCUGAACUUAA